CUAGCGACUUCAGAGUUUGAUCCUGGCUCAAGAUGAACGCUGGCGGCGUGCAUAACACAUUCAAGUCGAACGGUGAUUACCUUCGGGUAUGAUCAGUGGCGGACGGGUGAGUAACGCGUGAGCAACCUGCCCUUAUGUGGGGGACAACAGUUGGAAACGACUGCUAAUACCGCAUAAAGUUACGAGAUCGCAUGUUCUUGUAACCAAAGAUUUAUUGCGUAAGGAUGGGCUCGCGUUGGAUUAGAUAGUUGGUGAGGUAACGGCCCACCAAGUCUGCGAUCCAUAGCCGGACUGAGAGGUUGAACGGCCACAUUGGAACUGUGAAACGGUCCAG
Molecule: ribosomal RNA, 334 nt
Filed under: uncultured bacterium
Lineage: Bacteria
Description: bacterial SSU rRNA
Rfam family: Bacterial small subunit ribosomal RNA
Source: RNAcentral